ACUUUAACACCAAUCACUUUAAUUAUCCACUGAGUUCUCUGUUUAUAAUUCAUAUGCUUCAAUUAAUUUCAAUCUCUUCAUUACUUCAAUUUCUUCAACUUCUUGUAUGAACCUCUAUCUCAAAGCUCAUUGCUGCAAGUUGUUGCUGGUUGGCCAGUCAUCAUAACAAACCACACCUAAGCCAAUAAGCACUAAAUGGAAUGGUUGGAGAAUUUUAUAAUACAGCAAGUAAGUAGAGUAGUUCUGAAAAGAACUGGUUAAAGCAGCUUAUGGGCUAGUAACAACAACACAAGAACACUGCAUUAGCAUGCUUUGCUUUAAUAUCAAAUCACAUCUGCAUGAUAGUUGCUGCGUGGCAAGUGCAGUAAAAAAUUGGAAAUAUUAGCAGCCACCAAUACGUCCUGACCUACGUUAUUGCUGUCAGACAUUAAUUAUGCACAUACAUAUAGUUUAUACAAGUGAUAAUGACUAAAUUAAUAAUAAGAAUAAACAUACCUACCCGCCCACCUCUGUAAUAGGAUACUAUGAUUGGAG
This 534-nucleotide long non-coding RNA is filed under the name Amphimedon queenslandica. Its description in RNAcentral is "uncharacterized LOC109588101, transcript variant X2". The record is from RNAcentral. Lineage: Eukaryota; Metazoa; Porifera; Demospongiae; Haplosclerida; Niphatidae.